GUCUUAAUUAAAGAUAUUGAAUUUAACUUUUAAGUGAAAAGGCUUAAAUGAUCUGGAGGGACGAUAAGACCCUAUAAAACUUUAUAUUUAAGAGUAGAAAUUAGUUUUAUUUAAAGUUUGCUGUUUUAUAAUAUUUGGUUGGGGUGACGGGGACAGAAGAAGGAGUAACUGUCUUUUUUUUUUUUACAAAGAUAUUUGGUUUAAUGAUCCUAAAAUGGAUUAAAGAUUAAGUUACUUUAGGGAUAACAGCGUAAUUUUCUUUAAGAGUUCUUAUCGACAGGAAAGUUUGCGACCUCGAUGUUGAAUUAAAGGUUCUUUAUAGAGUAGAAACUAUAA
This 336-nucleotide ribosomal RNA is filed under the name Lacunicambarus aff. diogenes 398 MGG-2018. Its description in RNAcentral is "partial large subunit ribosomal RNA". It matches the Rfam family "Bacterial large subunit ribosomal RNA", at positions 2048 to 2567 of the family's 2925-position model. Lineage: Eukaryota; Metazoa; Arthropoda; Malacostraca; Decapoda; Cambaridae. The record is from RNAcentral.